CGAAAGCCUGACGGAGCAAUACCGCGUGAGGGAGGAAGGCUUUUGGGUUGCAAACCUCUUUUCUCAGGGAAGAAGUUCUGACGGUACCUGAGGAAAAAGCAUCGGCUAACUCCGUGCCAGCAGCCGCGGUAAGACGGAGGAUGCAAGCGUUAUCCGGAAUUAUUGGGCGUAAAGCGUCCGCAGGUGGCUUUUCAAGUCUGCAGUCAAAGACUGGAGCUUAACUCCAUAGAGGCAGUGGAAACUGGAUGACUUGAGUGCGGUAGGGGUCGAGGGAAUUCCCAGUGUAGCGGUGAAAUGCGUAGAUAUUGGGAAGAACACCAGUGGCGAAAGCGCUCGACUGGGCCUGCACUGACACUGAGGGACGAAAGCUAGGGGAGCG
Molecule: ribosomal RNA, 379 nt
Filed under: uncultured cyanobacterium
Lineage: Bacteria; Bacillati; Cyanobacteriota
Description: bacterial SSU rRNA
Rfam family: Bacterial small subunit ribosomal RNA
Source: RNAcentral